RNAcentral lists this ribosomal RNA (446 nucleotides) under uncultured bacterium. Its description in RNAcentral is "partial 16S ribosomal RNA". It matches the Rfam family "Bacterial small subunit ribosomal RNA", at positions 338 to 795 of the family's 1533-position model. The record is from RNAcentral.
CCUACGGGAGGCAGCAGUCGAGAAUCAUUCACAAUGGGGGAAACCCUGAUGGUGCGACGCCGCGUGGGGGAAUGAAGGUCUUCGGAUUGUAAACCCCUGUCAUGUGGGAGCAAAGUAAAAAGAUAGUACCACAUGAGGAAUAGACGGCUAACUCUGUGCCAGCAGCCGCGGUAAUACAGAGGUCUCAAGCGUUGUUCGGAAUCACUGGGCGUAAAGCGUGCGUAGGCUGUUGUGUAAGUCUUGUGUGAAAGGCGCGGGCUCAACCCGCGGACGGCACAUGAUACUGCGAGACUAGAGUAAUGGAGGGGGAACCGGAAUGCUCGGUGUAGCAGUGAAAUGCGUAGAUAUCGAGAGGAACACUCGUGGCGAAGGCGGGUUCCUGGACAUUAACUGACGCUGAGGCACGAAGGCCAGGGGAGCGAAAGGGAUUAGAUACCCUAGUAGUC